GACGAACGCUGGCGGCGUGCUUAACACAUGCAAGUCGAACGGAAAGGCCUCUUUCGGGGGGUACUCGAGUGGCGAACGGGUGAGUAACACGUGAGUAACCUGCCCUUGACUUUGGGAUAACUUCAGGAAACUGGGGCUAAUACCGGAUAGGAGCUCCUGCUGCAUGGUGGGGGUUGGAAAGUUUCGGCGGUUGGGGAUGGACUCGCGGCUUAUCAGCUUGUUGGUGGGGUAGUGGCUUACCAAGGCUUUGACGGGUAGCCGGCCUGAGAGGGUGACCGGCCACAUUGAGACUGAGAUACGGCCCAGACUCCUACGGGGGGCAGAAGUGGGGAAGAUUGCACAAGGGGUGGAGGCCUGAUGCAGCAACGCCGUGUGCGGGAUGACGGCCUUCGGGUUGGAAACCGCUUUCGCUCAUGACGAAGCUUUGUGUGACGGUAGUGGGUAAAGAAGCACCGGCUAACUACGUG
This 467-nucleotide ribosomal RNA is filed under the name uncultured bacterium. RNAcentral's name for it is "partial 16S ribosomal RNA". It matches the Rfam family "Bacterial small subunit ribosomal RNA", at positions 28 to 507 of the family's 1533-position model. The record is from RNAcentral.